GCGGGUAUGGUUCAGUGGUAGAACGCGACCUUCCCAAGGUUGAGAUACGGGUUCGAUUCCCGUUACCCGCUCCA
Molecule: transfer RNA, 74 nt
Filed under: bacterium
Lineage: Bacteria
Also listed under: 2 other names
Description: tRNA-Gly
Rfam family: tRNA
About the family: Transfer RNA (tRNA) molecules are approximately 80 nucleotides in length. Their secondary structure includes four short double-helical elements and three loops (D, anti-codon, and T loops).
Source: RNAcentral